GCCGUGAAUAUUAUUGUUGCCUUGCGUGUUGAUGCUUGGUUGUUGUGGGGCGCAUUAUUGUUGCUUGUUGCUUGAGGUACCGUGAGCUUGAGUUGAUUGGGUGUUGCUUGCGUGAAGUUGAGCUUUACUUGUGGAAACUCAUUAUUGCCGUGAGUAUUGUUGUUACUUGUGGAGCUUGAGUGAGCUACGGGUAUUGAGAGAUUGGGU
RNAcentral lists this unclassified non-coding RNA (207 nucleotides) under Hevea brasiliensis (rubber tree). Lineage: Eukaryota; Viridiplantae; Streptophyta; Magnoliopsida; Malpighiales; Euphorbiaceae. The record is from RNAcentral.